Molecule: microRNA precursor, 127 nt
Filed under: Myotis lucifugus (little brown bat)
Lineage: Eukaryota; Metazoa; Chordata; Mammalia; Chiroptera; Vespertilionidae
Description: mir-9193 microRNA precursor family
Rfam family: mir-9193 microRNA precursor family
Source: Rfam by way of RNAcentral
CGUGCACUGGUGGGGUCCCUCAGCCUGGCCUGUGCCCUCUUGCAACCAGGGACCCCUCGGGGGAUGUCGGAGAGCCUGUUUUAGCCCAAUCUCUGCAGGCCAGGCUGAGGAACCCCACCAGUGCACG